This 192-nucleotide non-coding RNA is filed under the name Lactobacillus sp. Its description in RNAcentral is "6S RNA". It matches the Rfam family "6S / SsrS RNA". From Rfam's summary of the family: E. coli 6S RNA was the first non coding RNA to be sequenced, but its function was unknown until recently. It consists of 184 nucleotides that fold into an extended hairpin structure with a large single-stranded internal bulge. Lineage: Bacteria; Bacillati; Bacillota; Bacilli; Lactobacillales; Lactobacillaceae. The record is from RNAcentral.
UAAGUUCUAGGGUGUGCGCGUUGUCCACAUACGUGUUUGCCGAACAACUAAUGUUACAUUGGGACAUGGGAUAACUCUUCCGGAUUGCAGGCCUUUACACUUGGUAGCAUGAACGCAGAUAUACCCGUCCCACCUGCUUUUAUCAGCGGGCCAAAACCUAUCGGACAAAUUAACGGCACUAUUAGAUCUUCA